This 1347-nucleotide ribosomal RNA is filed under the name uncultured bacterium. RNAcentral describes it as "bacterial SSU rRNA". It matches the Rfam family "Bacterial small subunit ribosomal RNA", at positions 27 to 1381 of the family's 1533-position model. The record is from RNAcentral.
GAUUGAACGCUGGCGGCAUGCCUAACACAUGCAAGUCGAACGGCAGCGCGGGGGCAACCCUGGCGGCGAGUGGCGGACGGGUGAGGAACACAUAGGAAUCUACCUCAACGUGGGGGAUAACGUAGGGAAACUUACGCUAAUACCGCAUACGACCGAGAGGGGAAAGCGGCGGACCGCAAGGCGUCGCGCGGUGAGAUGAGCCUAUGUCCGAUUAGCUAGUUGGCGGGGUAAGAGCCCACCAAGGCGACGAUCGGUAGCUGGUCUGAGAGGAUGAUCAGCCACACUGGAACUGAGACACGGUCCAGACUCCUACGGGAGGCAGCAGUGGGGAAUAUUGGACAAUGGGCGCAAGCCUGAUCCAGCAAUGCCGCGUGGGUGAAGAAGGCCUUCGGGUUGUAAAGCCCUUUUGUACGGGAAGAAAUCCUGUCGGUUAAUACCCGGCGGGGAUGACGGUACCGUAAGAAUAAGCACCGGCUAACUUCGUGCCAGCAGCCGCGGUAAUACGAAGGGUGCAAGCGUUAAUCGGAAUUACUGGGCGUAAAGCGUGCGUAGGCGGUUCGUUAAGUCUGUCGUGAAAGCCCUGGGCUCAACCUGGGAAUGGCGAUGGAUACUGGCGAGCUAGAGUCAGGUAGAGGGUGGCGGAAUUCCCGGUGUAGCGGUGAAAUGCGUAGAGAUCGGGAGGAACAUCUGUGGCGAAGGCGGCCACCUGGACCAUGACUGACGCUGAGGCACGAAAGCGUGGGGAGCAAACAGGAUUAGAUACCCUGGUAGUCCACGCCCUAAACGAUGCGAACUGGAUGUUGGGCUCAACUCGGAGCUCAGUGUCGAAGCUAACGCGUUAAGUUCGCCGCCUGGGGAGUACGGUCGCAAGGUUAAAACUCAAAGGAAUUGACGGGUCCCCGCACAAGCAGCGGAGCGUGUGGUUUAAUUCGAUGCUACACGAAGAACCUUACCUGGGUUUGACAUAGAGGUAGUAGGGAAGCGAAAGCGGACCGACCCUUCGGGGAGCCUCUACAGGUGUUGCAUGGCUGUCGUCAGCUCGUGUCGUGAGAUGUUCGGUUAAGUCCGCUAACGAGCGCAACCCUCGCUGUGUGUUACAAGUGUCACACGGUACUGCCGAUAUUAAGUCGGAGGAAGGUGGGGAUGACGUCAAGUCAGCAUGACCUUUAUAUCCAGGGCUACACACACGCUACAAUGGCCAGUACAAUGGGUUGCCAAGCCGCGAGGCGGAGCCAAUCCUAAAAAGCUGGCCUCAGUUCAGAUUGCAGUCUGCAACUCGACUGCAUGAAGUCGGAGUUGCUAGUAACCGCAGGUCAGCUAUACUGCGGUGAAUACGUUCCCGGGGAU